GGUUUUUUCUGGUGGGGGGAUGGGCUCGCGGCUUAUCAGCUUGUUGGUGGGGUAAUGGCUUACCAAGGCUUUGACGGGUAACCGGCCUGAGAGGGUGACCGGUCACAUUGGGACUGAGAUACGGCCCAGACUCCUACGGGAGGCAGCAGUGGGGAAUAUUGCACAAUGGACGAAAGUCUGAUGCAGCGACGCCGCGUGAGGGAUGAAGGCCUCGGUUGUAAACCUUUUUCGUCUUUUGUACCAAGGCAGCAUUUUGGUGUUGUUGAGGGUAUGAGGUAAAGAAGCUCCGGCUAACUACGUGCCAGCAGCCGCGGUAAUACGUAGGGAGCGAGCGUUGUCCGGAUUUAUUGGGCGUAAAGGGCUUGUAGGUGGCUUGUCGCGUCUGCCGUGAAAUUCCGCAGCUUAACUGUGGUAGUGCGGUGGGUACGGGCAGGCUUGAGUGUGGUA
This 447-nucleotide ribosomal RNA is filed under the name uncultured bacterium. Its description in RNAcentral is "bacterial SSU rRNA". It matches the Rfam family "Bacterial small subunit ribosomal RNA", at positions 207 to 653 of the family's 1533-position model. The record is from RNAcentral.